Molecule: long non-coding RNA, 661 nt
Filed under: Setaria viridis
Lineage: Eukaryota; Viridiplantae; Streptophyta; Magnoliopsida; Poales; Poaceae
Description: long non-coding RNA (SVIR_LNC006837)
Source: RNAcentral
GAUCUACCCGGCUGGCGACGAACAGAUUCACGUCACACGUGCACCACCGUCGAAGUAAAGGGCCUGUUCGCUUCAGCUUAUAAGCCGGCUGAAAAGCUGAAACGGCUGAUUUGUUGUGAGAGGAAAAUACUGUUUGGUGGCUGAUAAGCCGACUGAAUAAGCUGAAGCGAACAGGGCCAAAAAGGUUACACUCGGCUCCAUCGUGGUCCUGUCACAAAUUUCUCGUACUAAGAGCCGAAACAUUUUCUCUCUCCCUCUCCAGUAGCAGCUUUUGGAGUUUGGAGACCAUUGCUACAGCAGACUACUAAAACUUCAUCUCCAAAAUCCUUCCUUACACGUGGACUCCAUGUGUCAGUGAGUACCCCCUCCUCUACCUUGGUCCUUCCCUCAUCCUCUCUUUCUCUCUCGCGCACCGCCGCUAGCCUUGUCGCACACACCGCCCCCACCGCCGAUGGUCGCCCUCUCCACCGCCGGCCUCACACGUGCCCUUAACCUCAGAUCUCCCGUUGUCGACCGCCUCUCCACCCCACCCUCUCCCCCCUUUGCUCCUAUGGCUGCCACCAGACUCCUUGGCCUCCCUACGGUGGAGCUCUCCCGACCGGCCCCGCGAUCGUUGCGUCCCGCGCGAGGCAAGGUAGGGGCGCGCCAGCAUGAGGCGAGG